RNAcentral lists this ribosomal RNA (506 nucleotides) under uncultured bacterium. Its description in RNAcentral is "partial 16S ribosomal RNA". It matches the Rfam family "Bacterial small subunit ribosomal RNA", at positions 29 to 523 of the family's 1533-position model. The record is from RNAcentral.
AGUGAACGCUGGCGGUAGGCCUAACACAUGCAAGUCGAACGGCAGCACAGGAGAGCUUGCUCUCUGGGUGGCGAGUGGCGGACGGGUGAGGAAUACAUCGGAAUCUACUCUGUCGUGGGGGAUAACGUAGGGAAACUUACGCUAAUACCGCAUACGACCUACGGGUGAAAGCAGGGGAUCUUCGGACCUUGCGCGAGUGAAUGAGCCGAUGUCGGAUUAGCUAGUUGGCGGGGAAAAGGCCCACCAAGGCGACGAUCCGUAGUUGGUCUGAGAGGAUGUUCGGCCACACUGGAACUGAGACACGGUCCAGAUUCCUACGGGAGGCAGCAGUGGGGAAUAUUGGACAAUGGGCGCAAGCCUGAUCCAGCCAUACCGCGUGGGUGAAGAAGGCCUUCGGGUUGUAAAGCCCUUUUGUUGGGAAAGAAAUCCAGCCGGCUAAUACCCGGUUGGGAUGACGGUACCCAAAGAAUAAGCACCGGCUAACUUCGUGCCAGCCGCCGCGGUAA